CCCGCCCCGGACCCUCCCAGCCCCAGCCUCAGCCUGCCCCUCCGCACAGUGGGCUUGAAGGUGGGGUCCCGGGCCCCGCCCCCCGCUUCCGCCUGCAGGAGCUCUGCGCGCGCGCACGUUGCCGGAGGUGCCCCCACCGGGUCCUGGCGCCCCGGGCAAGCCCCCGGCAGGCACACGGCGACUGCAGGGACCCUGAACCCCACUCGGCCGCACCCAGAUGCCCCCAGGAGUGCAGACGCGGAGCUCGAUGACACGCGGGGACGCAGACCUGGACACGUGCUCAGGAGCCACCCAGCUCCGCAGAUGCAACAGAUACCCCGGAUGCAGACACCUGCCCUCCAGUCCUCCCACCCUACGUCCUGUGGCGACCCGCCUGCAGACCCCAGGGCCUGGGCGGCGCAGGGCAUAGCGGGUGUCCUCCCCCCCAUUCCACAUUCCAGGGACACGCACGGACCACAACACGACCACGACGGCGGGAUAGCUGGCCCGCAGCCGGACUGCUAACACUUCCGAGGCCACCACACCGCCUCCCCCCUUCGGUGGCGUGGCCCCCAGAUCUGGGGCGUCAGUGGGCAGCGACCCCUCGGGAAGUCUGGGUCCAGCUCCAGCCCCUCUGCCCUGCCUUGGUCACUCCCGGGGCCUCCCAACAGCUCCCCGGAGAAGGAGGAGGCUCAGAGCACCGUCUCGGCCACGCUGUGGUCGUCCAGGAACUGGGUGAUGAGUCUGGGGGACUGCGGGCCUGGCACAGGGUCCGCACCCGCUUCUCCCACCGGCUCGUCUUCCUCCUCCCCCUGAUCCUUGGAGAAGUACAGGAAUACCUAGCGGUGGGCGGCCCAAGGAAGCAGGAGGGGAGGUCAGCUUGAGGGCUUGGCCCCCAGCCCCACCUUUACCCCCAGCCCCAUCCUGGGGCUGCAGUCACCUCCUCCAGCGUGGUCUGGCUCACAGAGAAGUCCUCCACGCCGUGCUCCGGGCCUCGCGCCGCCAGCUCUCCAAAGACGAGUGCCAGGGCACAGCACCCUCCCGGUGGCAGCUGGAAGCGCAGGCGGCCACCGUGCGCCUCCCGCAGCUCGGCCCCCGGGAACGCCGCUGCCACGAAGGCUGCCGCAGACUUGGACCGCGACAAGGGCACCCGCAGGAGCCAACGCGGCGGCGCUUGAUCUCCCCUCCGGCCCCACCCACAGCCCACCGCGAGCUGCCUGCACCCAGGCCGCGAGGCCUCACCCCGCUCACCUGCCCUUGAGGUGCUGCGCGCUGCCCAGGCAGC
Molecule: long non-coding RNA, 1264 nt
Organism: Hippopotamus amphibius kiboko
Lineage: Eukaryota; Metazoa; Chordata; Mammalia; Artiodactyla; Hippopotamidae
Exons: 3
Source: RefSeq, a predicted model, not a curated record